RNAcentral lists this ribosomal RNA (399 nucleotides) under uncultured bacterium. RNAcentral's name for it is "bacterial SSU rRNA". It matches the Rfam family "Bacterial small subunit ribosomal RNA", at positions 28 to 426 of the family's 1533-position model. The record is from RNAcentral.
GAUUAACGCUAGCGGCAGGCCUAAUACAUGCAAGUCGAGGGGUAACAGGGUAGCAAUACCGCUGACGACCGGCGCACGGGUGAGUAACACGUAUGCAACCUACCUAUAACUGGGGAAUAGCCUUCCGAAAGGAAGAUUAACACCGCAUAACAUCACGAGACGGCAUCGUUUUGUGAUCAAACCUCCGGGGGUUAUAGAUGGGCAUGCGUAACAUUAGCUAGUUGGUGAGGAACGGCUCACCAAGGCGACGAUGUUUAGGGGGUCUGAGAGGAUGAUCCCCCACACUGGUACUGAGACACGGACCAGACUCCUACGGGAGGCGGCAGUAAGGAAUAUUGGACAAUGGGGGCAACCCUGAUCCAGCCAUGCCGCGUGAAGGAUGAAGGCGCUCUGCGUCGU